Molecule: ribosomal RNA, 879 nt
Filed under: uncultured Lachnospiraceae bacterium
Lineage: Bacteria; Bacillati; Bacillota; Clostridia; Lachnospirales; Lachnospiraceae
Description: bacterial SSU rRNA
Rfam family: Bacterial small subunit ribosomal RNA
Source: RNAcentral
AGUUUGAUCCUGGCUCAGGAUGAACGCUGGCGGCGUGCUUAACACAUGCAAGUCGAGCGAGCACUGGUUCAGAUUUCUUCGGAUUGAAGGACCUUUGACUGAGCGGCGGACGGGUGAGAACGCGUGGGGAACCUGCCCCAUACCGGGGGAUAACAGCUGGAAACAGCUGCUAAUACCCAUAAGCGCACGAAGAGGCAUCUCUUUGGGUGAAAAACUCCGGUGGUAUGGGAUGGACCGCGUCGGAUUAGCCAGUUGGCGGGGUAACGGCCCACCAAAGCGACGAUCCGUAGCCGGCUGAGAGGGCGACCGGCCACAUUGGGACUGAGACACGGCCCAAACUCCUACGGGAGGCAGAGUGGGGAAUAUUGCACAAUGGGGGAAACCCUAAUGCAGCGACGCCGCGUGAGUGACGAGUAUUUCGGUAUGUAAAGCUCUAUCAGCAGGGAAGAAGACGACGGUACCUGACUAAGAACCCCGGCUAACUACGUGCCAGCAGCCGCGGUAAUACGUAGGGGGCAAGCGUUAUCCGGAUUACUGGGUGUAAAGGGAGCGCAGACGGCUGUGCAAGUCUGAAGUGAAAACCUUGGGCUAACCGAAGGAUUGCUUUGGAAACUGUAUAGCUUGAGUACCGGAGGGGUAAGCGGAAUUCUGGUGUAGCGGUGAAAUGCGUAGAUAUCAGGAAGAACACCGGUGGCGAAGGCGGCUUACGGACGGUAACUGACGUUGAGGCUCGAAAGCGUGGGGAGCAAACAGGAUUAGAUACCCUGUAGUCCACGCCGUAAACGAUGAAUACUAGUGUCGGCAUCUAAGAGAUGUCGGUGCCGCCCAACGCAUUAAGUAUUCCACCUGGGGGAGUACGUUCGCAAGAAUGAAACUCAA